Molecule: non-coding RNA, 215 nt
Filed under: Clostridium chromiireducens
Lineage: Bacteria; Bacillati; Bacillota; Clostridia; Eubacteriales; Clostridiaceae
Description: T-box sequence
Rfam family: T-box leader
About the family: Uncharged tRNA acts as the effector for transcription antitermination of genes in the T-box leader family. T-boxes are found upstream of many aminoacyl-tRNA synthetase genes and some amino acid biosynthetic genes usually in Gram-positive bacteria.
Source: RNAcentral
UAUCAUGCGAUGAAUAGGAGUAUUAGUAAUAGUUAUAUCUAUAAGAGAGCUGUUGGUAGCUGUAAAACAGUGUUAUAUUAUUAUGAACUUGCCUAGGAGCUUACUUGUUAAAGCAAGUACGGUAAUACCGUUAAAAUAUUAAGUGAGAAGAUUUGAUUUAUUCUAUUUCUUCUAAUUAAGAGUGGUACCACGGAAAUUGCGCUUUCGUCUCUUUA